RNAcentral lists this ribosomal RNA (489 nucleotides) under uncultured eukaryote. RNAcentral describes it as "SSU rRNA". It matches the Rfam family "Eukaryotic small subunit ribosomal RNA", at positions 21 to 524 of the family's 1831-position model. The record is from RNAcentral.
UAGUCAUAUGCUUGUCUCAAAGAUUAAGCCAUGCAUGUCUAAGUAUAAGUUUUUUACUGCGAAACUGUGAAUGGCUCAUUAUAACAGUUAUUAUUUCCUAGCCGGUCAGUUAUUCCUUGGAUACCCAUGGUAAUUCUAGAGCUAAUACAUGCUUACAGACCCAACUUCACGGAAGGGUUGCGCUUAUUAGAUACCGAACCAACCCCGCAAGGGCUUUAGUUGAUUCAUAGUGUUCUGGCGAAUCGACUCUUAGUCGAUGAGGCUAUCAAGUUUCUGACCUAUCAGCUUCCGACGGUAGGGUAUUGGCCUACCGUGGCUUUGACGGGUAACGGAGAAUUAGGGUUCGAUUCCGGAGAGGGAGCCUGAGAAACGGCUACCACAUCUAAGGAAGGCAGCAGGCGCGUAAAUUACCCAAUCCUGACACAGGGAGGUAGUGACAAGAAAUAUCAAUGCUAGACUUUUAUGUCUUGGAAUUGGGAUGAGCGAAAC